AUGCGGUAUGACGGUACCCUUUCGAAUAAGAGGUUGCUAACUCUGUGCCAGCAGCAGCGGUAAUACAGAGACCUCGAGCGUUAUCCGGAUUUACUGGGCGUAAAGCGUCUGUAGGGGGUUUGUUAAGUUCCAAGUAAAAUCUUAAGGCUCAACUUUAAGUUCGCUUGGAAAACUAAUAAACUGGAGUCCAGCAGAGGUGCAUGGAACUUGCGGUGUAGGAGUGAAAUCCGUUGAUAUCGCAAGGAACACCAAAGGCGAAGGCAUUGCACUGGGCUGGUACUGACCCUGAGAGACGAAAGCGUGGGGAGCAAAACGGAUUAGAUACCCGUGUAGUCCACGCCGUAAACGAUGGAUACUAGAUGUUCGGGGAUUCGACCCCCUGGGUGUCACAGCUAACGCGUUAAGUAUCCCGCCUGGGAAGUACGGCCGCAAGGCUAAAACUCAAAGGAAUAGACGGGGAUCCGCACAAGCGGUGGAGCGUCUGGUUUAAUUUGAUAGUAAGCAAUGGACCUCACCAAGGUUUGACAUCCUAUGACAACCCUGGAAACAGGGCUUCCUUCGGGCAUAGUGACAGGUGCUGCAUGGUCGUCGUCAGUUCGUGCCGUGAGGUGUUCCGUUAAGUCGGGAAACGAACGAAACCCUCGUCGCAUGUUACAAAUUUCAUGCGAGACUGCCCGGGUCAACCGGGAGGAAGGCGGGGAUGACGUCAGAUCAGCAUGGCCCUUAUACCUUGGGCUACACAGGCGCUACAAUGGCCGGUACAAAGGGUUGCAAAACCGCGAGGUGAAGCUAAUCCCAUAAAGCCGGUCCAAGUUCGGAUUGGAGGCUGCAACUCGCCUCCAUGAAGUUGGAAUCGCUAGUAAUCGUGGAUCAGCCAUACCACGGUGAAUACGUUCCCGGAUCUUGUACUCGCCGCCCGUCACACCAAGAGAGUUGGUAGCUCAUGAAGC
RNAcentral lists this ribosomal RNA (950 nucleotides) under uncultured organism. RNAcentral describes it as "bacterial SSU rRNA". It matches the Rfam family "Bacterial small subunit ribosomal RNA", at positions 462 to 1427 of the family's 1533-position model. The record is from RNAcentral.